GACGAACGCUGGCGGCGUGCUCAACACAUGCAAGUCGAACGGAAAGGCCCUGCUAUUGUGGGGUGCUCGAGUGGCGAACGGGUGAGUAACACGUGAGUAACCUGCCCUUGACUUUGGGAUAACUUCAGGAAACUGGGGCUAAUACCGGAUAGGAGCUCCUGCUGCAUGGUGGGGGUUGGAAAGUUUCGGCGGUUGGGGAUGGACUCGCGGCUUAUCAGCUUGUUGGUGGGGUAGUGGCUUACCAAGGCUUUGACGGGUAGCCGGCCUGAGAGGGUGACCGGCCACAUUGGGACUGAUAUACCGCCUAGAGUCCUACGGGAGGCAGCAGUGGGGAAUAUUGCGCGAUGAGCGGAAGCCUGAUGCAGCAACGGCGCCUGCGGGAUGACGGCCUUCAGGUUGUAAACCGCUUUCGCCUGUGAUGAAGCGUGAGUGACGGUAAUGGAUAAAGAAGCACCGGCUAACUACGUG
This 468-nucleotide ribosomal RNA is filed under the name uncultured bacterium. Its description in RNAcentral is "partial 16S ribosomal RNA". It matches the Rfam family "Bacterial small subunit ribosomal RNA", at positions 28 to 507 of the family's 1533-position model. The record is from RNAcentral.